GAUGAACGCUGGCUACAGGCUUAACACAUGCAAGUCGAGGGGAAACGACGGGGAAGCUUGCUUCCCCGGGCGUCGACCGGCGCACGGGUGAGUAACGCGUAUCCAACCUGCCUCUGACUGAGGGAUAACCCGUCGAAAGUCGGCCUAAUACCUCAUGGUAUCGUCUGCGGGCAUCCAACGACGAUUAAAGAUUUCAUCGGUCAGGGAUGGGGAUGCGUCUGAUUAGCUUGUUGGCGGGGUAACGGCCCACCAAGGCUACGAUCAGUAGGGGUUCUGAGAGGAAGGUCCCCCACAUGGGAACUGAGACACGGUCCAAACUCCUACGGGAGGCAGCAGUGAGGAAUAUUGGUCAAUGGGCGAGAGCCUGAACCAGCCAAGUAGCGUGCAGGAAGACGGCCCUAUGGGUUGUAAACUGCUUUUAUGCGGGGAUAAAGUGAGGGACGUGUCCCUCAUUGCAGGUACCGCAUGAAUAAGGACCGGCUAAUUCCGUG
RNAcentral lists this ribosomal RNA (491 nucleotides) under uncultured bacterium. RNAcentral's name for it is "partial 16S ribosomal RNA". It matches the Rfam family "Bacterial small subunit ribosomal RNA", at positions 28 to 507 of the family's 1533-position model. The record is from RNAcentral.